RNAcentral lists this ribosomal RNA (471 nucleotides) under Veillonella dispar. Its description in RNAcentral is "bacterial SSU rRNA". It matches the Rfam family "Bacterial small subunit ribosomal RNA", at positions 28 to 476 of the family's 1533-position model. Lineage: Bacteria; Bacillati; Bacillota; Negativicutes; Veillonellales; Veillonellaceae. The record is from RNAcentral.
GACGAACGCUGGCGGCGUGCUUAACACACGCAAGUCGAACGAAGAGCGAUGGAAGCUUGCUUCUAUCAAUCUUAGUGGCGAACGGGUGAGUAACGCGUAAUCAACCUGCCCUUCAGAGGGGGACAACAGUUGGAAACGACUGCUAAUACCGCAUACGAUCUGACCUCGGCAUCGAGGAUAGAUGAAAGGUGGCCUCUAUUUAUAAGCUAUCACUGAAGGAGGGGAUUGCGUCUGAUUAGCUAGUUGGAGGGGUAACGGCCCACCAAGGCGAUGAUCAGUAGCCGGUCUGAGAGGAUGAACGGCCACAUUGGGACUGAGACACGGCCCAGGCUCCUACGGGAGGCAGCAGUGGGGAAUCUUCCGCGAUGGACGAAAGUCUGACGGAGCAACGCCGCGUGAGUGAUGACGGCCUUCGGGUUGUAAAGCUCUGUUAAUCGGGACGAAAGGCCUUCUUGCGAAUAGUUAGAAGGA